GACGAACGCUGGCGGCGUGCUUAACACAUGCAAGUCGAGCGGUAAGGCCCCUUCGGGGGUACACGAGCGGCGAACGGGUGAGUAACACGUGGGUGACCUGCCCUCAGCUCUGGGAUAAGCCUGGGAAACUGGGUCUAAUACCGGAUAUGACUCCAUGACGCAUGUCGUGGGGUGGAAAGCCUUGUGCGGCUGGGGAUGGGCCCGCGGCCUAUCAGCUUGUUGGUGGGGUGAUGGCCUACCAAGGCGACGACGGGUAGCCGGCCUGAGAGGGCGACCGGCCACACUGGGACUGAGACACGGCCCAGACUCCUACGGGAGGCAGCAGUGGGGAAUCUUGCGCAAUGGGCGAAAGCCUGACGCAGCGACGCCGCGUGAGGGAUGACGGCCUCGGUU
RNAcentral lists this ribosomal RNA (393 nucleotides) under uncultured bacterium. RNAcentral describes it as "bacterial SSU rRNA". It matches the Rfam family "Bacterial small subunit ribosomal RNA", at positions 28 to 424 of the family's 1533-position model. The record is from RNAcentral.